Molecule: long non-coding RNA, 1533 nt
Organism: Alligator mississippiensis (American alligator)
Lineage: Eukaryota; Metazoa; Chordata; Crocodylia; Alligatoridae
Exons: 4
Source: RefSeq, a predicted model, not a curated record
AUGUUGAACAAGAAGCCAUGAGGAGGCCCCUUCCACCUGUAUGCACCUAUGGUCUUACUGGGCAAGAUCCUGCGCAUACAUACUCCAUACAAAAAGUGAAUCAUUGAAUGAUGAACAGUUCCCCUAACCCAGCUUCGGGCACCCAGGAAAAUUCCCCAUCCAGAAAAGAAACCCCCACAUAAGAUGCUCGUCUUUCUCCCUGCUCACAUGAAACAGGGUAGAUUUUCUUUUUCCCUUUUCUGCUCCUCAGGGCCAGGCCUUCAGAGCCCAGGGAUGAAAUCCUGAAGCCCAGGGAGGGGAGCCAGCAGCACUGGGAGCCAGCUCCCACCCUGCUGCAGACGAAGGCAAGCCAGAAGCCAGCAGCUCCCGGAGCAGGACAGUAGAGCCCAGCAGAGCUGUGCGGCUGUAGACAGAUGAAUGGUCUCUCCUUAUUCCUGACGCCACGAGGUGUAGGUGCUCUGUAAAGAUGGGAAUCUGCACUGAAACACAGCUGAAAUGAAGGGAGUAACUGCUGUCUGUCAAGAAACCCCUAUUGACUCCACAAGGCCUUUGGGAAGUAUGUACUCACUGCAGAAUUAACUCAGGUGAAGGGUAUCUGGGACUGGACACCUGAGUUAUCCUGUCUUCAGUCUGAGCCACCACAUCACAAAGCCAAACCUGAGUUACUGCAUCCUCAGUGGUGCUGCACUCUUGCACGUAUGUUGGUAGGACUUCUGGGAGCACUCCCCAUGUUGCUCUGUGCUACAGGAAGGCACCCAGAGCACUCGAUGGACACCUAAUGUAUUUUAGAGGCCUGAAAACAAACCAAGAAAAGAAUCUUUCUUCUUAUCUUUUAUGCAAAAAAAUAAGGGAAUGGAAAAAUAUUUCUUGUUACACCAUCCAGUUAGUCAGGUUUACAGCAAUUACCAGUAUGUUACUUUAUUAGUAGUAUCCCAAAGCAAACACACAUUUGAGUGUUUUCCUUUCAGAUCUUUGUACACCUCUGCACAGCUGUGAGUCCCAGGGGUUUUCAAACAGUGGUGUGUAUUUGCUAAGCUGUCCAACUCUGCAACUGUAUUAUCGAACUCUGUCAAGUGAUUUCCAACAUAGUUUGUAUGAAGGAGACUAAUAAAAAUAUAAUUGCUGGGGCUGAUAUAGAUUCUGGACAAGUGGGUGCAACUCUUCUGAAAUCUGAAGUCAUCAAGUCUAAAUUUUGUCUGUAUCAUUUGCUAUGUAUUGUUUCCUUGUUAUAUUUACAACUGUACAUUAUUUAUUUAUUACAUUUCCUACUGGGAGAUGCCCUUGAAGUAAAUGUAUUUUCAUCAGGGAUGAAUUCUGCCCAAUAUAAUACAUCUGUUGCUGUUCCAAGCAACUGCUCAGUUGAGAUUCUCCUUUAUCUCAAGUGGUUGAACUAUUGCUUUUAGAAUGGAGUAAAAGCAUCCUUUUGUUAAAGUCCAGGCAGGAACUAAUUUCUUAUUAUUCAGAUAACAACACAUUAAGGUAGUGGCUUCUUUAUUGGAAGGGGAGUACCAUCUCAUGGGUAGAGCAGUGGAC